This 761-nucleotide ribosomal RNA is filed under the name Bacillus pumilus. Its description in RNAcentral is "bacterial SSU rRNA". It matches the Rfam family "Bacterial small subunit ribosomal RNA", at positions 50 to 803 of the family's 1533-position model. The record is from RNAcentral. Lineage: Bacteria; Bacillati; Bacillota; Bacilli; Caryophanales; Bacillaceae.
GCUACAUGCAACGAGCGGAGUACGGUACUUGCUCCCGGAUGUUAGCGGCGGACGGGUGAGUAACACGUGGGUAACCUGCCUGUAAGACUGGGAUAACUCCGGGAAACCGGAGCUAAUACCGGAUAGUUCCUUGAACCGCAUGGUUCAAGGAUGAAAGACGGUUUCGGCUGUCACUUACAGAUGGACCCGCGGCGCAUUAGCUAGUUGGUGAGGUAACGGCUCACCAAGGCGACGAUGCGUAGCCGACCUGAGAGGGUGAUCGGCCACACUGGGACUGAGACACGGCCCAGACUCCUACGGGAGGCAGCAGUAGGGAAUCUUCCGCAAUGGACGAAAGUCUGACGGAGCAACGCCGCGUGAGUGAUGAAGGUUUUCGGAUCGUAAAGCUCUGUUGUUAGGGAAGAACAAGUGCAAGAGUAACUGCUUGCACCUUGACGGUACCUAACCAGAAAGCCACGGCUAACUACGUGCCAGCAGCCGCGGUAAUACGUAGGUGGCAAGCGUUGUCCGGAAUUAUUGGGCGUAAAGGGCUCGCAGGCGGUUUCUUAAGUCUGAUGUGAAAGCCCCCGGCUCAACCGGGGAGGGUCAUUGGAAACUGGGAAACUUGAGUGCAGAAGAGGAGAGUGGAAUUCCACGUGUAGCGGUGAAAUGCGUAAGAUGUGGAGGAACACCAGUGGCGAAGGCGACUCUCUGGUCUGUAACUGACGCUGAGACGAAAGCGUGGGGACGAACGGAUUAGAUACCCGGGUAUCCCCCCCCGA